RNAcentral lists this unclassified non-coding RNA (277 nucleotides) under fungal sp. Its description in RNAcentral is "partial internal transcribed spacer region". The stretch from base 1 to 46 matches the Rfam family "Eukaryotic small subunit ribosomal RNA", at positions 1786 to 1831 of the family's 1831-position model. Lineage: Eukaryota; Fungi. The record is from RNAcentral.
AAGUCGUAACAAGGUUUCCGUAGGUGAACCUGCGGAAGGAUCAUUACCGAGUUAGGGUUCCUCCAACGGGCCCGACCUCCCAACCCUGUGUCUACUACACCUUUGUCGUUGCUUCGGCGGACCGGUUAACCAAAACUGGCCGCGACCGCCGGGGGGCCAAACACCCCUGGAGAGCGUCCGCCGACGGCCCAACCACAAACGCUUGUACGAAAAUCUGUCUGAAUUGACUUGAUUAAAUCAAACCACAAAACUUUCAACAACGGAUCUCUUGGUUCUG